RNAcentral lists this ribosomal RNA (254 nucleotides) under uncultured bacterium. Its description in RNAcentral is "partial 16S ribosomal RNA". It matches the Rfam family "Bacterial small subunit ribosomal RNA", at positions 524 to 776 of the family's 1533-position model. The record is from RNAcentral.
UACGUAGGGUGCGAGCGUUAAUCGGAAUUACUGGGCGUAAAGCGUGCGCAGGCGGUUUUCCAAGACAGAUGUGAAAUCCCCGGGCUCAACCUGGGAAUGGCAUUUGUGACUGGAAGGCUAGAGUGUGUCAGAGGGGGGUAGAAUUCCACGUGUAGCAGUGAAAUGCGUAGAGAUGUGGAGGAACACCGAUGGCGAAGGCAGCCCCCCUGGGUCAAGAUUGACGCUCAUGCACGAAAGCGUGGGGAGCAAACAGG